GACGAACGCUGGCGGCGUGCUUAACACAUGCAAGUCGAACGGAAGGGCCCUGCUUUUGUGGGGUGCUCGAGUGGCGAACGGGUGAGUAACACGUGAGUAACCUGCCCUUGACUUUGGGAUAACUUCAGGAAACUGGGGCUAAUACCGGAUAGGAGCUCCUGCUGCAUGGUGGGGGUUGGAAAGUUUCGGCGGUUGGGGAUGGACUCGCGGCUUACCAGCUUGUUGGUGGGGUAGUGGCUUACCAAGGCUUUGACGGGUAGCCGGCCUGAGAGGGUGACCGGCCACAUUGGGACUGAGAUACGGCCCAGACUCCUACGGGAGGCAGCAGUGGGGAAUAUUGCACAAUGGGCGGAAGCCUGAUGCAGCAACGCCGCGUGCGGGAUGACGGCCUUCGGGUUGUAAACCGCUUUCGCCUGUGACGAAGCGUGAGUGACGGUAAUGGGUAAAGAAGCACCGGCUAACUACGUG
RNAcentral lists this ribosomal RNA (468 nucleotides) under uncultured bacterium. RNAcentral describes it as "partial 16S ribosomal RNA". It matches the Rfam family "Bacterial small subunit ribosomal RNA", at positions 28 to 507 of the family's 1533-position model. The record is from RNAcentral.